GCGGGGGUAGUUUAAUGGUAGAACAUCAGCUUCCCAAGCUGAGAGCGCGAGUUCGAUUCUCGUCACCCGCUCCA
Molecule: transfer RNA, 74 nt
Filed under: Streptomyces regalis
Lineage: Bacteria; Bacillati; Actinomycetota; Actinomycetes; Kitasatosporales; Streptomycetaceae
Description: tRNA-Gly
Rfam family: tRNA
About the family: Transfer RNA (tRNA) molecules are approximately 80 nucleotides in length. Their secondary structure includes four short double-helical elements and three loops (D, anti-codon, and T loops).
Source: RNAcentral